GAUGAACGCUAGCUACAGGCUUAACACAUGCAAGUCGAGGGGAAACGAUAGAGAAAGCUUGCUUUUUCUAGGCGUCGACCGGCGCACGGGUGAGUAACGCGUAUCCAACCUGCCCACCACUUGGGGAUAACCUUGCGAAAGUAAGACUAAUACCCAAUGACGUCUCUAGAAGACAUCUGAAAGAGAUUAAAGAUUUAUCGGUGAUGGAUGGGGAUGCGUCUGAUUAGCUUGUUGGCGGGGUAACGGCCCACCAAGGCGGCGAUCAGUAGGGGUUCUGAGAGGAAGGUCCCCCACAUUGGAACUGAGACACGGUCCAAACUCCUACGGGAGGCAGCAGUGAGGAAUAAUGGUCAAUGGACGAGAGUCUGAACCAGCCAAGUAGCGUGCAGGAUGACGGCCCUAUGGGUUGUAAACUGCUUUUAUAAGGGAAUAAAGUGAGAGUCGUGACUCUUUUUGCAUGUACCUUAUGAAUAAGGACCGGCUAAUUCCGUGCCAGCAGCCGCCGUAA
Molecule: ribosomal RNA, 508 nt
Filed under: uncultured bacterium
Lineage: Bacteria
Description: partial 16S ribosomal RNA
Rfam family: Bacterial small subunit ribosomal RNA
Source: RNAcentral